Molecule: ribosomal RNA, 301 nt
Filed under: uncultured bacterium
Lineage: Bacteria
Description: partial 16S ribosomal RNA
Rfam family: Bacterial small subunit ribosomal RNA
Source: RNAcentral
CAGCCGCCACGGUAAUACGAAGGGUGCAAGCGUUACUCGGAAUUACUGGGCGUAAAGCGUGCGUAGGUGGUGGUUUAAGUCCGUUGUGAAAGCCCUGGGCUCAACCUGGGAAUUGCAGUGGAUACUGGGUCACUAGAGUGUGGUAGAGGAUAGUGGAAUUUCCGGUGUAGCAGUGAAAUGCGUAGAGAUCGGAAAGAACACCAACGGCGAAAGCACUCUGCUGGGCCGACACUGACACUGAGAGACGAAAGCUAGGGGAGCAAAUGGGAUUAGAUACCCCCGUAGUCCCUGUCUCUUAUAA